RNAcentral lists this ribosomal RNA (497 nucleotides) under uncultured bacterium. RNAcentral's name for it is "partial 16S ribosomal RNA". It matches the Rfam family "Bacterial small subunit ribosomal RNA", at positions 28 to 507 of the family's 1533-position model. The record is from RNAcentral.
GAUGAACGCUGGCGGCGUGCCUAAUACAUGCAAGUCGAGCGAACGGACGAGAAGCUUGCUUCUCUGAUGUUAGCGGCGGACGGGUGAGUAACACGUGGAUAACCUACCUAUAAGACUGGGAUAACUUCGGGAAACCGGAGCUAAUACCGGAUAAUAUUUUGAACCGCAUGGUUCAAAAGUGAAAGACGGUCCUGCUGUCACUUAUAGAUGGAUCCGCGCUGCAUUAGCUAGUUGGUAAGGUAACGGCUUACCAAGGCAACGAUGCAUAGCCGACCUGAGAGGGUGAUCGGCCACACUGGAACUGAGACACGGUCCAGACUCCUACGGGAGGCAGCAGUAGGGAAUCUUCCGCAAUGGGCGAAAGCCUGACGGAGCAACGCCGCGUGAGUGAUGAAGGUCUUCGGAUCGUAAAACUCUGUUAUUAGGAAAGAACAUAUGUGUAAGUAACUGUGCACAUCUUGACGGUACCUAAUCAGAAAGCCACGGCUAACUACGUG